Molecule: transfer RNA, 72 nt
Filed under: Planctomycetota bacterium
Lineage: Bacteria; Pseudomonadati; Planctomycetota
Also listed under: 1 other name
Description: tRNA-Gly
Rfam family: tRNA
About the family: Transfer RNA (tRNA) molecules are approximately 80 nucleotides in length. Their secondary structure includes four short double-helical elements and three loops (D, anti-codon, and T loops). Further hydrogen bonds mediate the characteristic L-shaped molecular structure. tRNAs have two regions of fundamental functional importance: the anti-codon, which is responsible for specific mRNA codon recognition, and the 3' end, to which the tRNAs corresponding amino acid is attached (by aminoacyl-tRNA synthetases). tRNAs cope with the degeneracy of the genetic code in two manners: having more than one tRNA (with a specific anti-codon) for a particular amino acid; and 'wobble' base-pairing, i.e. permitting non-standard base-pairing at the 3rd anti-codon position.
Source: RNAcentral
GCGGGUGUAGCUCAGUGGUAGAGCAUCUGCUUCCCAAGCAGAAUGUCGAGGGUUCGAUCCCCUUCACCCGCU